RNAcentral lists this ribosomal RNA (467 nucleotides) under uncultured bacterium. RNAcentral's name for it is "bacterial SSU rRNA". It matches the Rfam family "Bacterial small subunit ribosomal RNA", at positions 9 to 465 of the family's 1533-position model. The record is from RNAcentral.
GAGUUUGAUCCUGGCUCAGGAUGAACGCUAGCUACAGGCUUAACACAUGCAAGUCGAGGGGCAGCAUUAAAGUUUGCUUGCAAACUUUAGAUGGCGACCGGCGCACGGGUGAGUAACACGUAUCCAACCUGCCGAUAACUCGGGGAUAGCCUUUCGAAAGAAAGAUUAAUACCCGAUGGUAUAUUUUCACCGCAUGGUGAAACUAUUAAAGAAUUUCGGUUAUCGAUGGGGAUGCGUUCCAUUAGGCAGUUGGUGAGGUAACGGCUCACCAAACCUUCGAUGGAUAGGGGUUCUGAGAGGAAGGUCUCCCACAUUGGAACUGAGACACGGUCCAAACUCCUACGGGAGGCAGCAGUGAGGAAUAUUGGUCAAUGGGCGCGAGCCUGAACCAGCCAAGUAGCGUGAAGGAUGACGGCCCUAUGGGUUGUAAACUUCUUUUAUAUGGGAAUAAAGUUUGGUAUGCAUAC